AAACAUGGUGGUUAGUUUAUUAAUUUAACAUCUGGCCUGCCCACUGAUAUUGAAGGGCCGCAGUAUAUUGACUGUGCAAAGGUAGCAUAAUCAUUAGGUUCUUAAUUAGGAUCUGGAAUGAAGGGUUUAACGAAAUAUUAACUGUCUCUGUUUAAUAGAUUUAAUUUAACUUUUUAGUAAAAAGGCUAGGAUUUGGAUGAGGGACGAGAAGACCCUAUAGAGCUUAAUAUUUACUUUAUAAUAAUCACUUAGAUUUGAAUAAAUUAGUAUUAGGUAAUUAUUUUACUGGGGCGGUAUAAAGAUAAUUUUAACUCUUAUUUUGUUAAUAACAAUGAUUAAGUAAUUGAAUCAUAAUAAUGAUUUUAGAUAAAGUUACCUUAGGGAUAACAGCGUAAUUUAUUUGGAGAGUUCAUAUUGAUAAAUAUGUUUGCGACCUCGAUGUUGAAUUAAGAUUUCAGAGGAAUGGAGCAGUUUCUAUUGAGAGUCUGUUCGACUCUAAAAUUCUUACGUGAUCUGAG
Molecule: ribosomal RNA, 518 nt
Filed under: Myrmecophilus kinomurai
Lineage: Eukaryota; Metazoa; Arthropoda; Insecta; Orthoptera; Myrmecophilidae
Description: partial 16S ribosomal RNA
Rfam family: Bacterial large subunit ribosomal RNA
Source: RNAcentral